GACGAACGCUGGCGGCGUGCUUAACACAUGCAAGUCGAACGGAAAGGCCCUGCUUUUGUGUGGUGCUCGAGUGGCGAACGGGUGAGUAACACGUGAGUAACCUGCCCUUGACUUUGGGAUAACUUCAGGAAACUGGGGCUAAUACCGGAUAGGAGCUCCUGCUGCAUGGUGGGGGUUGGAAAGUUUCGGCGGUUGGGGAUGGACUCGCGGCUUAUCAGCUUGUUGGUGGGGUAGUGGCUUACCAAGGCUUUGACGGGUAGCCGGCCUGAGAGGGUGACCGGCCACAUUGGGACUGAGAUACGGCCCAGACUCCUACGGGAGGCAGCAGUGGGGAAUAUUGCACAAUGGGCGGAAGCCUGAUGCAGCAACGCCGCGUGCGGGAUGACGGCCCUCGGGUUGUAAACCGCUUUCGCCUGUGACGAAGCGUGAGUGACGGUAAUGGGUAAAGAAGCACCGGCUAACUACGUG
RNAcentral lists this ribosomal RNA (468 nucleotides) under uncultured bacterium. RNAcentral describes it as "partial 16S ribosomal RNA". It matches the Rfam family "Bacterial small subunit ribosomal RNA", at positions 28 to 507 of the family's 1533-position model. The record is from RNAcentral.